UUCUUCUUCAAUUCAUGUGUUUGCUAAUUAUUAUUCAUUUUAAUCAUCAGUUGGUUUCAAUCUCUUGAUCUUACUUGGUUAUUUUUUGUGUAUCUCACGAUCUUUGCUUGUGGAAAAAAAGGGAAAAGUGCGGUCCUUGGUGAAAUGGUUUGGAUGGCCUCAGAAAACCAACACUUGGGAUCCGGUGGAGAAUCUCUUAAGUUGUUCAGAUCUCAUUGACAAAUUCGAAGAAAGGCGAAUGUAGAAAAGCAAAUGAAGAUGGCUGGUGUUGUUCGAACCGAUGGGAAGGUUAGUGUUAGAAGGUUAAUUUUGUGUAUAUAUUUCUUCUCCUCAAAUUAUUCAACCAUCAAAUAUCUUUUUUGUUGGUUUUCACUGUGCAAAAUGGGUGAAAGUAUGUAGCAAAGGAAAAGAAAAUAACUGAAAUGAAAACAGAGAAUCGACAAAGCAUUAUGAGGAUGAUAAAUGCAGGAAGCGGCUUCUAGAACACUCCAUAAAGAUUUGCAGAUCCCGCAUAUAUCAAAGGGGAGUCUGUAAGUGCACCAAAGUUUGAUAAAUGUCGGAUACUGCUCAAGUUUCAACAUUGAAGGACUGAUCUUGUAAUUAUGUGAAAGUGUCACAAGUUUGGACAAGGGUUCUUAUACAUAUGAGAACUUGUGGGUUUAGAAUGUCACUACUUUUAAUCUUUUAUAUGGUGAGUACUUGUGGUUCUCUAAAUGGUGCGAACUUGUAUUGUCUAGUUAGUGGUGAGUACUUGUGGUUCACUUAAAUGGUGCGAACUUGAAUUGUCUAGUUGGCGGUGAGUACUUAUUUGUUAAGUACUGAGGUUUUAUUGUAAGGUCUAUGAUGUCCGGACAUAUGAUUGUAUAUAAGCUUUGUGAUGUAUGCAAUCAUUAGACAUUCAAUGAAACAAUGAAAUUUUGGA
This is a long non-coding RNA of Helianthus annuus (common sunflower), 922 nucleotides long. RefSeq lists it as uncharacterized. The transcript is spliced from 4 exons. The record is from RefSeq and is a predicted model, not a curated record. Lineage: Eukaryota; Viridiplantae; Streptophyta; Magnoliopsida; Asterales; Asteraceae.